UUCGGGGUUAGUGGCGGACGGGUGAGUAACACGUGGGAACGUGCCUUUAGGUUCGGAAUAGCUCCUGGAAACGGGUGGUAAUGCCGAAUGUGCCCUUCGGGGGAAAGAUUUAUCGCCUUUAGAGCGGCCCGCGUCUGAUUAGCUAGUUGGUGAGGUAAAGGCUCACCAAGGCUACGAUCAGUAGCUGGUCUGAGAGGAUGACCAGCCACAUUGGGACUGAGACACGGCCCAAACUCCUACGGGAGGCAGCAGUGGGGAAUCUUGCGCAAUGGGCGAAAGCCUGACGCAGCCAUGCCGCGUGAAUGAUGAAGGUCUUAGGAUUGUAAAAUUCUUUCAGUAGGGACGAUAAUGACGGUACCUACAGAAGAAGCCCCGGCUAACUUCGUGCCAGCAGCCGCGGUAAUACGAAGGGGGCUAGCGUUGCUCGGAAUUACUGGGCGUAAAGGGAGCGUAGGCGGACAUUUAAGUCAGGGGUGAAAUCCCAGAGCUCAACUCUGGAACUGCCUUUGAUACUGGGUGUCUUGAGUGUGAUAGAGGUAUGUGGAACUCCGAGUGUAGAGGUGAAAUUCGUAGAUAUUCGGAAGAACACCAGUGGCGAAGGCGACAUACUGGAUCAUUACUGACGCUGAGGCUCGAAAGCGU
Molecule: ribosomal RNA, 642 nt
Filed under: Brevundimonas sp. Air256
Lineage: Bacteria; Pseudomonadati; Pseudomonadota; Alphaproteobacteria; Caulobacterales; Caulobacteraceae
Description: bacterial SSU rRNA
Rfam family: Bacterial small subunit ribosomal RNA
Source: RNAcentral